This is a long non-coding RNA of Cygnus olor (mute swan), 3432 nucleotides long. RefSeq lists it as uncharacterized. The record is from RefSeq and is a predicted model, not a curated record. The transcript has 3 exons. Lineage: Eukaryota; Metazoa; Chordata; Aves; Anseriformes; Anatidae.
CUGUCAUCACUGUGGGUCCCCACCCUCGGGAACCCCGUCCCUCUCGCUCCUUGCGCGGCGAUGUCUCUGGUCCCUAAUCCCACAGCCUUUUUUUUUCCCAAGCGGGUGUCGAGGUGGGCGUGAGGAUGCAGUAGCUGAGCCCCUCGCAGCCCGCAUGCAAGCACAUCAUUUGGCUACCGGUGCCGGGGUUGGGAAGUCUUGUUUGUAACCGUGACCACCCACUGCUCUCAACGUGAUUCGGCAGUCAAAUCGGGAGCGCGGGCUUAAGUUGCUGGUUUUGCGUGACUCUUGAACUCCGAAAUGGGUUUUGAUUGAGCAUUAUCAAAUAUUUCCUUACUACAGGUGCGAAAUAGCACUGAAAGUGCGUGAGGAAAAGUCCGUUUUACUUAACUAAAUGAAACGUUGCAGGACUUUAGUUCAAUAUUCUUUCACUUGAGGGGGAGAACUGGGGGGUGGGAAGGGGAGGAGAAGAGAAUAACCUGAAAUAUGGAGAUCUUCCUUUCUUCUUUUUCCUGCUCUAGUGGAAAGUAAAAGCCCUUGGGAAAACUUCGCAGCCUUUUCCCCUGAGCGCGGAGGGGCACCUACAGCUGAUUCUCUAGGAAAAUGUAUACAAUUACCACUCGUUUUCUUUCUCCUGGAACAACUAAUUGUACAAAUGAAAGGUCAGGCAUGUGCUUUUCCUAUGUUUAUCAGCCACAACAAUGAGCCCCUUCUAUUUUUUCCCCUGGUGCAUUAUAUUGCAAUAAAGUGCUGCCGUAGUGCCGUCUCUUUGGGUAAACAUCUUCAAAGGCGAUUUUGCAAAGCCCAGCGGUGCGUAUAUAUUCUCAAAGCUCUCAAUGGCCGGGGAGAAGCCGAAAGCGAGGUGCGGGUUGUGGGGGCGUCCGCAGCCCCCCCGAGCCGCAGAGGCACACAUUUUCCCCGCUGCCCCCGGCCGGCUCUGCCCCGGCGGAGGGCCCGAUCCUGCCGCCCGCAGCCCGGCGUUUCUUUGUCCCUCGUGGCUUGUGUCGCUUUUUAUGGGGCGGGACGGAUCCUGCCCCUCUCCCCCGGGGAUCCAGACCACCUUGGCAUGUUCUCCCCGCUUGCCUCCGGAGCGUAAACCCGGUAGUCCCGAAGGAAAGCCUGCCAACGCCUCCUAAUCCGUGGCAGGUUUUUCUUUCCAUCUUACGAGGAGACCUCUGAUCACAUCUUCAGGAACAAACCAUGAGCCCGCCAAGUCCUAAAAAGGUUUCAAAUACGGGACACAACUUCUCUGUGCCAGCUCGGUGCGAAGAGUUCAUUGGACCUAGUCCCUGUGGUAUAGAUGUAUAAUAUUCAAUAUUUCCAUCAACAGGUUCACUUCACUUCACCUGUUACGUGGGGAACAGGUAUCCACUGGGACUGUGCCUGGGGCGAACAUACCUGGUGCUGAUAAAGCAGUUUUAUCCCAUCCCGUUAACUACUCUGAGGGCAUCUUUCCGGGAUAUUUACCGAUGUGUGCUGUUGUCCUUAACCAAAAUUUGCUCACUGCUCACAGUCCUAGUGGAUGCAUUUUUCCACUAAUUUGUCCUUGCUGAACAGAAACAUCUCUGCACUCCUUACACCUGUGAACUGAAGGAGCAGAAUAGCUCUAUAGACCUGUUGGGAGCUGGAAGGAAACUUCAGGAGCCAUGAAGUGAGCAGGAGAUCUUGAUUUCUCGUGUGAAUCUGUCUAUUAUGUUGUGCCUGUUCAGAUAAAAGUUCAUUUUUAUUUAUUUUUUUAAUCGUGCUGGCUUGUGAUGCCCAGAAAAUUUCUCAGAGGAGUCUGUCUCCACCGAGAUCCAAAACACGGGGCUGUUUCUCUCCCUGUGGAUAGGCAUCACUGCCCUAUUCCUUGCAGUAUCUGUCAAGAGGGUGUCAGGGUAUACCCGACAACCGUGGACAAACAGGUGUCGUUUAAACCAGCACUAAGCUCUGAAUGCCUUUGGAUCCAGCAUUUCUGUCAUAACUAAGUGGAAAAAAAAAAAAAAAGAAAAAAAAAAACAUAAUCGGUCCAGCAGUGAAGGGGAAGAGGUCUCUGACGGACACCAGGCGCAGUGCGGCCUCUGGAAAUGGCAGAAGCGGUCAGAGCGGUGCAAAGCCCGGGCGCUCGGCUCCCAAACGAACACACGGGCUGACAUUUUAGAUCCGGCAGGCUCCGAGCAUUUAGGCCUGCACAAGGAGAGGCCAAUGCCAUUGCUCCCGGUAUGUUUAGCUAAUUGUCUAACAACUGCGCUGCACAAGAGCUACAAGAUAAAAGGCCGCAGCGACCCUCAGCAAGGCGGAUGCGGCUGGCAGUAAAACUUGUCGCUCCUCUGAAAGGCCGCUCAUUGUGCUGAUGGAAAAUCGUUCUUCAGACACGGAGCAAAGUCUCAGCCCGACUUCACUGAAGUUGCCUGUUUUACAGAAAGGGCAAAUAAAAAGAGAGGAGUUCCCGCCUGCACUGAAAGAAUAGCUCAACAUCUGUCAUCCCAUUCUCUGCGAUGGCCCAAAAUCAGGAAGACUACAGCUGUCCUGUUCCUUUCAGAUACUUCUGGGAUAGAGAGGUUGGGAGUUAUGCUAGAAGUGCUGAGUGCUGGAUGAAGAUGAAAACAAGCGAUGUAAAUUAAUGUAUUCCUUGCAAGCUCAAAAAUGACAUCGAUUGAGAUAUGUCUGUAUGGAGAAGAAGAGAGAGGGAAAGGAAGGGGGAGGAGGGGAAGAGGUUGGGAAGAAUAUGCUACCACACACACAAAAAAAGUUUCAACACAUACCCUCACUGGUUCAUUGGUUUAAUAUCUAGCAAAUUAGUCAAAAGCAAAAAAUAUAAUGGAAUUUCAAGUCAUUUAUUGAGUGAAUUAUACUAUUCUCUUCCAAUAACAAACUAGGAGUCAAUAGUAGAUUGUAUGUUACUUUUCUUAUAACAACAAUUAAGAGCUACUGCAGUAAUACUCAGAGUCCCAACCAGUGGCAAUUGCUUUAGGUAUGCAGCUCUCUCACCUGCAAUUUAAACUUCACAGUCCCAAGAUCUGGGGAAAGCAUCACAAAGCGCAGAUUGCUCAGAGGGUUUUAGGCAUUGUGAGACCCAGCUCUGCUGUCCAGGGUAAUCUACAGUCUGAUGUUAGGCCUUCAGGCUCCCUGUCACACCUAUGGUGAUGGUUAGCCUGUGGUUACGGGUGAUUUCGAUUUGGCUUGCAUCCAUGGCUGCUGCUGAAAGAACAGCUCAGCUGCACAGUCAUGCUGUUACCUCCUACUUAGAUUCAAGCAUGUUACUUAAUGUUUACCUGCUGAUCAUAGGCACGGAAGAAUGACAGCAAAAAGGAAGCAGUUUCUCAACAAAGUUGGUCUUGAUCCAUUUAGGAUUUUCUAAUUAAAAAUAAAUGAGUUACAUUUCUGCAGAUGCACCAGUCUAACUCCAAGGAAUUUACUGUUAGCAAGUGCUAGAAUGAUGAGAACUGCUGG